RNAcentral lists this long non-coding RNA (272 nucleotides) under Capsicum annuum. RNAcentral's name for it is "long non-coding RNA (CANN_LNC003113)". Lineage: Eukaryota; Viridiplantae; Streptophyta; Magnoliopsida; Solanales; Solanaceae. The record is from RNAcentral.
AACAAUAAGCUUAUACGCAACAUCAAAAUCAAAAGCAAAAUAUAUAGACACAUAGGAAAAAGUUGACCCAGGGAUAAAUAAUGGGGAAACAGAUCUGUAACAAACCGAGAUGAUACCUAUAAUAAUAGCAUCAGAGGCCUCUACCUCAGUCCUAGCCGGUAUAGCAUAAGAAUGACCACGUUUUCUUUUGGACUGAGUAACCCCACGACCACCUCCAUGAGCACCUCUACUUCGAACACUUCUAGCGUCACUCGAACCACUCUAUGCACCCC